AAGUCAUACCAGUAAGUGUGUGACAGAGCUCUGAGCCGGGGACUCCGACUAGCUAUGCGGCCUCCGGUACUCCCCAAUAACCACAGAUCCAGCUUUGUCUACACAGUCUCUGGUACUCGUUAGUGGGCAGAGUUUUUUUUAAAAGGUGGGGGGGAGUGCUUGGGAGGGGGGGCGUUCCUGCCCCCUAGGAAAUCACUCUCACGGAGCAUCUGCAGAGUGUUCCCCCAGUGGCUAACCACUGGUCUCCGGGCUGCUCGGGGAGGCUUCUGGGUCUCUGGUGGCCCAGCUGAUCCCUCCUCCUCCUCCCAGGGAGCGUCUCGCAGGUACUGAGAAGAUUGCAUCUGGAGGCUGGAGCCCCCUCCCGCUCUCUCACCCAGGGAAUCGUCUGGAAGUCUCCUUUUUGUAGCGUAAAACCGCUGGCCUCCUGCUGGGCGGGCGGAAGUCCCACAGGCCCGGUCCUGGGCUAUUGGAUCCUCAGAUCUGGACGCCUUAAGGCACCCUGGCAUCUAAGGCUCCGAUGGAGGCCACAAUAAAGAAGCGGAGGAGGCCAGAGGCCCGGGUUUUCCCCCAGCCUUUGUUUGCAAUGAACUUCUAAGUGUGUGGAGAACUAGGGGGCAAGGCCUUCAGCCCUCCGGAGGUUCCCAACAUCCGGCCCCAGGGCUUGGCCCCUGGGAUUAAGUGAUAGAAAGGAGUUUAGCCCUUUUUCCUCAGGCUAAGACCCCACAGCCUCUGCCCCUUAGCGUCCCUCAGGGGCGCCCUCUUCCCAUCCUCCUCAGCUGCCCCAGCUAAAGGGGCUCCAGGGCCACAUCCUGACAGGAAAUGCUGUUUCUGGAGCUCUGCCCAAAAGAAACAGGACCAGAAAGGGGCCUUCCCAUCAAUCUCAUGUUUGGCAGCCAUGGAUCCGGUCUGGAGGAAGAGGGCUUGGGUUCUAGUUAAGAAGCAUUAAAGGGCCCCCUGUGUGUCAGCCUGUGUGUCCUUCCUUUUAGAAAAGAACCAGUGACAUCUUGGGCUGGGGCUUGACAUCUGAGAGCUUGACAACUCUCUCUUCCAGUGUCAGGACAAAAGUCAGGAAGGGUGGCAAUGGCCGGGAUGCAAUGGCUGACCUUGGCCACUCUCAUCCAUUCUGUGGGGGGAAGUCUUCACACACCCCCACCCCCUCUCCUAGCUCAAACAUUCACUUGCUGAAUGACCUUGAACAUUUAAUUCCUUCCUCUGAGCCUCAGUUUCCUCAUCUGUAGAAUUGGAUCUAUUCUGGGGCUAAAUCUGUGAUCUGAACUCUCUUUUCCUUGGCUCUAGUCUUCUAGUACUCCCCUCCUUUUAGUCUGCUGGUUCAUGCUCACACUCUGUCCUGACACAGUCCCAGGCCCCUUCUCAGCAUUCCACCUCAGGAUCUGCCCUUAAAGCAGUACUGCCUCUGUUUUAGGGGAGAACUUGUCAAUCAACUCCCCUAUGCUUCUGGCUAUGUGACCCUGGCCAAGUCACUUAACCUCAAUUGCUUCAGGGAAAAAAAUAGUCUCUGGUCACCAAGAAGAUAAGCAAGUGAGCAGCUGUCUCUGUUUUGUAUGUGUCCCAAGUGCUAACUAAAUGCUUUUCAUUCAUUCAUUCAUCAGUCAAAUGAGGAGAAUAAACUAGAUAGUCCCUCCUAACUCUCAAUGAUUCUUUCAUCUUUGGCUCAGUUUCCCCAUCUGUAAAACAUAAGAGUUGGAGUCAUACAUUACCCAAUUAGAAUUUCACAAUAUUUCUGUGUCUAGUCAGGAAGAUCUGAGUUUAAAUUCACUCUCAAAUACUCGCUAGCUGUGUGAUCCUGGGCAAGUCACUUAAAUUUUUUUUGCCUCAGUUACUCAUCUGUAACAUGAGCCAGAGAAGGAAAUUGCAAAUUGAUUUAGUAUCACUGCCAAGGAAACCUCAAAUGGGAUCAUGAAAAAUCAGAUAUACCUGAACAACAAUUUUUACUUAAUUUUUUUUGUGAAGCAAUUGGGGUUACAUGACUUGUCCAGGGUCACAUAGCUAGGAAGUGUUAAGUGUCUAAGGUUGAA
Long non-coding RNA from Antechinus flavipes (yellow-footed antechinus), 2036 nucleotides. RefSeq lists it as uncharacterized. NCBI's taxonomy places the organism in Eukaryota, Metazoa, Chordata, Mammalia, Dasyuromorphia, Dasyuridae. The record is from RefSeq and is a predicted model, not a curated record. The transcript has 3 exons.